RNAcentral lists this ribosomal RNA (807 nucleotides) under uncultured fungus. RNAcentral describes it as "eukaryotic LSU rRNA". It matches the Rfam family "Eukaryotic large subunit ribosomal RNA", at positions 1 to 821 of the family's 3401-position model. Lineage: Eukaryota; Fungi. The record is from RNAcentral.
GAACUUAAUUUCUGACUGACUCAGAUCAAGUAGACUACGCUGACUUAAGCAUAUCAUAGCGAGACAGAAACACAGGGAUUCCCUAGUAGUGGCGAAUGAAGCGGGAAAGCUCAAGUUGAAAUCUGAUGGGUUUCCCUUCAGAGUUGUAAGCUGAAGAGGCAUCGACCGACGUCGUCUGGGCCCAAUUUCCUUGGAACAGGAGGUCAUGGAGGGUGAGAACCCCGUCUGUGGCUCAGAGCCUUCGUCCUUAUGUCGUGUCCUCGAAGAGUCGGGUUGUUUGGGAAUGCAGCUCAAAAUGGGUGGUAAAUUCCAUCUAAGGCUAAAUAUUGGCGAGAGACCGAUAGCAAACAAGUAGAGUGAUCGAAAGAUGAAAAGUACUUUGAAAAGAGAGUGAAACAGUACGUGAAAUUGUUGAAAGGGAAGCGUUUGGCAUCAGCCCAUGGCGUCCAUUGAUCAUUCAGGCUUCUGUCUGAUGCACUUGAUGGAUGUCGGGCCAGCGUCGGCUUUGCCCGCCGGAGAAAGGCCUUGGGGAUGUGGCACCUCUCGGGGUGCGUUAUAACCCUUGGCGUCAUGCGGUGUGGUGGGGCCGAGGUCCGCGGUUUAUCCUAGGACGCUGGCGUAAUGGUUCCAAGCGACCCGUCUUGAAACACGGACCAAGGAGUCUAACAUCUAUGCGAGUGUUUGGGUGUAAAGCCCGUCCGCGCAAUGAAAGUGAAUGAAGGCGGGAGCCUUUAGAGGGUGCACCGCCGACCGGUCCAGGGGUUUACCGAAGGAUCUGAGUAAGAGCAUAGCUGUUGGGACCCGAAA